Molecule: non-coding RNA, 2791 nt
Organism: Peromyscus maniculatus bairdii (prairie deer mouse)
Lineage: Eukaryota; Metazoa; Chordata; Mammalia; Rodentia; Cricetidae
Source: RefSeq, a predicted model, not a curated record
GAUCCUCCUCCUUCCUCCUCCCCUGACCUCUUCUCUCCCCAACCCCCGCACCCCGCCCCCGUCCUCCUCCCUCCCCACCCUCUCUCACCCCCCCUGUGUCCCAAACUAUGGCACAAUAGCGCUCAGCUCCUCUGUCUAUUCUGUGUCCAGCAGGAGCCCGCGGUGAUUCAUUGCUCCAAUUAGGGGCUCUGCAGCCCGUGGCUCGGGCUGUCUGAAGGGUCUCCUUUGGGACCCACGAAACCAUCAGCCGCUGCCGCUGAUCUUUAAGGAAAGGUCAAGCCGGACGCAUUAGAGCCAGGUUUGGGAAAAGCAGAACCUAGGCAAUGCUGACAGACCAGGCUCUCCAGAGACCAAGGCAAGAGGCUCUCAAGUUCAAGGCCAGCCUGGGCUACACAAAUCAUCAGGCCAUCUGGCAGGAUGGUACCUCCUAUAAUCCCAGCACCCUGGAGAUGGAUGGGAAGUUCAAGGCCAGCCUGAGCUGCAAAGUGAAACCUUGUCUCAAAAAAUAAAACCUCGGAAGGAGGCAGGGUUUAUGUGGUUUACAGGUCCUGAUGGCAGUCCGUCAUUGAGGGAGAUCAGGGCAGGAACUCAGACAGCAUCGGGGAGGAGCCAUGAAGGAACGCAGCUUUCCACCUCACAUCCAGGACCCCCUGCCUAGGCAUGACACUGCCCACCUUGGUCUGGACCCCUUCACAUCAAUCAACCGUGGAGAAAAAGCCCCACAGACUUGCCCCCAGGCCGGUCUGAUGGAGGAGGCCCCCAGGCCGGUCUGAUGGAGGAGGCCCCAGGCCGGUCUGAUGGAGGCAGUCCCUCUGUUGAGGCUCCCUCCUCCCACAGAACACUAGUCUGUGCCAAAGGGAUGAAAACUAACCAGCACAGAGGACAGAGGGGUCUGCCACCUCAUACCGUGGAGGUCAGAGACAAUCUGUGAGAACCGGUCUUCUUCCUCUAUGUGGGUUCCAUGCUUUAAACUCUGGGCGUCAGGCUUGGUGCCAAGGACCUGUACCACUGAGCCAGCUCACAGGCCCUUUUGUUACCCUUCGUAUGGACUGACUCCAUUAACUCAUUAAACAUGCAGCUUCUACAGGGUGCCGGUAACCCCAUCUCAGCGGCCACUGCGCUUCGAGACACCCCCGUCUCAGAGCAAGGAGGCGGCAGCUCACUGUCCGUCUCUGGGUCCUGAGAUGGUGUAGGCAGGGAGCAUUCCAAACGUUGCAAAGGCCCUUGUGUGAAAAUCCCAGCUUGUGCUCACAGCAAAGGAUCAGGGCAUGGGGGCCAGGAGACCACUCUCAUGCUCCCCCCCCCCAAACCCUCCCGUUCAGGAACCCGAGGAUGCUGCAGUGAACUUCAGAGCCUUGUAAAAACCUUUUGAUAGAUGCACACAGAGCUGACCUGCACGGGGCUGACGGGGCAGACUCUCCACAUAAAUCUUACGUGUGCUUGAAAAUUCCCUCCCCACUGGCAUCUCCAAGGCUCUGAUUUGUUGCAGAAACCCCUUGAUGUGGUUGGUUCCCAAGCAGCCAAGCCCCAGAAAUUCUGGAAAAGGCAGGACACAAGGAGAGGAGGAAAGGAAAGUUAGACAUGGAGAGUGACCUCCAACUGCCCAGCAUGCAUGCCUGGCCCGCAGUCGGCUUUGGUCCUCCACUAUGACAAAGACGGCCAACGUUACCAACUGUUCACUAAGUGCUGGGUACUUUCUAAUCACUGGGGGCUAUGCUCACUUAAUACGUGAACACUAUUGUUAGUUUUACUGAUGGGGCACUGAGGUUCCAAACAGUGGCCCCAUGUCCCCAAGGUCACAGAGCUGGGAAGUGUCGGGGCUGGAAUUGAACACUUGCUCUAACCCACCACGUAUAAGGUACAGCUCCUGGCCUACAGGCCCACCUCUCCAGAUCCUUCCCUAGAAAACAUUCCUAUCCCUCUUAGUGUCCUGCCCCAGAAGCCUGUGGUCUUGCUCACCAUCCUGCCCGUGGCUCCCCCAGCAGCUGUACCUCCAGCCAGGUCCCCAAGCCCUUGGACCCAGGGUUUCUCAGUGGCUGCCUCAGGUUCUGGCUCACAGGAAGGCUGUGUCCACAGCCCUGGAGUCUUUCCGUAUGUCCCUCUGAGUCACCAGGACCUGCCCCAGCCCCAGCUGCCCUCCUUGGUCCUCACUCUGGAGUGGCUGGCCUCUCCUGGACUUGUUCACACUGCCUGGUGCUAAACUGGAGAACGGCACUUUGUUUUCCUCUGGGAGGUCUCACUGUAACCCCAGCUGACCUCACAUUUCAGCAGCCCCCUUGCCUUCCCCUCCCCAGUGCUGAGGUUACUGGGGUGAGCCGCCAGGCCUGGCUGGGUAUUAUGCUUUUGAAAACCUCUUCCUGAAGCUCCUGAAAGGAUGUGACACAUAGGUGCACCUCACUAAGUUUUCACAGGCCAAACUGGGGUUUGACUGGCCAAUCACAAGCAUCCCAUAUCCAGUUCAAACCCAGCUACAGAGAUGACAUUUCCCAGACUGCACAGUCCACCAUGCAGGUGACAGUUCUGUGGCUGAGUGUUCACAGAGCCACAUAACUAGUCCAAAUGGUAACUUUUGAACACCCAUCACCCACAAGAGAAACCUCCACCCAAAAUGCCAUCACUGUGGUUCCUCCAGCUGCUCUUCCCUCAGCUCUGUCUCUUCACUUGUCUGUCUUGGGGUGCCACAUGGAGGAGAUGGCUAUGUAGCCCUGGCUAGCCCAGAACUCACUAUGCAGAUCAGACUGACUUCAAACUUACAGGGAUCCACAUGCCUCUUCCUCCUGAGUGCCUGCCU